This 427-nucleotide ribosomal RNA is filed under the name uncultured bacterium. RNAcentral's name for it is "partial 16S ribosomal RNA". It matches the Rfam family "Bacterial small subunit ribosomal RNA", at positions 355 to 774 of the family's 1533-position model. The record is from RNAcentral.
UGGGGAAUAUUGGACAAUGGGCGAAAGCCUGAUCCAGCCAUGCCGCGUGUGUGAAGAAGGUCUUCGGAUUGUAAAGCACUUUAAGUGGGGAGGAAGGGCAUUAACCUAAUACGUUAGUGUUUUGACGUUACGGACAGAAUAAGCACCGGCUAACUGUGUGCCAGCAGCCGCGGUAAUACAGAGGGAGCAAGCGUUAAUCGGAAUUACUGGGCGUAAAGCGCGCGUAGGUGGUUUGUUAAGUUGGAUGUGAAAUCCCCGGGCUCAACCUGGGAACUGCAUUCAAAACUGACUGACUAGGGUAUGGUAGAGGGUGGUGGAAUUUCCUGUGUAGCGGUGAAAUGCGUAGAUAUAGGAAGGAACACCAGUGGCGAAGGCGACCACCUGGACUAAUACUGACACUGAGGUGCGAAAGCGUGUGGAGCAAACA